UACUAGAGUAGCACUCGCAUAUCAAUAAGCGGAGGAAAAGAAACUAACAAGGAUUCCCCUAGUAACGGCGAGUGAAGCGGGAAGAGCUCAAAUUUGAAAUCUUAAAGGGUUUCCCUUUACGAAUUGUAGUUUAAAGAAGUGUUUUCUGUUGAGGUUUUGGUAAAAGUUCUUUGGAAUAGGACAUCAUAGAGGGUGAGAAUCCCGUAUUUGACCUUUACUUUCAACUUUGUGAUACACUUUCAAAGAGUCGGAUUGUUUGGGAAUGCAGUCCAAAAUGGGUGGUAAAUUUCAUCUAAAGCUAAAUAUUGGCGAGAGACCGAUAGCGAACAAGUACCGUGAGGGAAAGAUGAAAAGAACUUUGAAAAGAGAGUUAAACAGUACGUGAAAUUGUCAAAGGGAAGCGUUUGACACCAGUGUUGUUUUUCUGAAAAUCAAUUAAAGAACUGUUUAUGCUAAGUUGUUUAGACUUUAUCAGCUAACUGUUUAGUUUUGAGCUUUUCUUUAAUGCACUUUUCAGUUAACAAGUCAACAUCAAUUUCUUUUGCUGUAAAAAAGCUUGAGGAAGGUGGCUUGAGAUUCGUCUUAAGUGUUUAUAGCCUCUUGCCUAUGCAGUCGGAGAGAUUGAGGUCUGCAGCGUAGAUCCUUCGGGGCUAAAUGCAUUUGUGCUAAGUUAUAGCAUUUUAUAGACAACUUGUUGACUAUGAUUUGUCUUGUAAGCUUACUCGCUUAUGUUAUUUUACCUACGCUUAGGAUGUUGAUAUCGCGCUCUCACUG
This 774-nucleotide ribosomal RNA is filed under the name uncultured Neocallimastigales. Its description in RNAcentral is "partial large subunit ribosomal RNA". It matches the Rfam family "Eukaryotic large subunit ribosomal RNA", at positions 20 to 643 of the family's 3401-position model. Lineage: Eukaryota; Fungi; Neocallimastigomycota; Neocallimastigomycetes; Neocallimastigales. The record is from RNAcentral.